Molecule: ribosomal RNA, 371 nt
Filed under: Huananpotamon yiyangense
Lineage: Eukaryota; Metazoa; Arthropoda; Malacostraca; Decapoda; Potamidae
Description: partial large subunit ribosomal RNA
Rfam family: Bacterial large subunit ribosomal RNA (bases 239-371)
Source: RNAcentral
AUUUUGAAUUUAACUUUUAAGUGAAAAGGCUUAAAUAUACUAAAGGGACGAUAAGACCCUAUAAAACUUUACAUUGUAAUUAUAUUUUAGUAAAUUUAUAAAUAAAGAUUAAAUUUGAUUAUUUGUUAGGCUGGGGAGGUACGAAUAAAUAUUAUUUUAACUGUUUGAUGAUUAUACAAUUAUUAGUGGGUAAGUAAAAGAUCCUUAUUUCAAGAUUAAUAGAUUAAGUUACUUUAGGGAUAACAGCGUAAUUUCUUUUGAGAGUUCUUAUCGAAAGAGAAGAUUGCGACCUCGAUGUUGAAUUAAAAUAUUCUAUAUAAUGAAGAGGUUAUAUAAGAAGGUCUGUUCGACCUUAAAAUUUACAGAUGAGU